Non-coding RNA from Notechis scutatus (mainland tiger snake), 2798 nucleotides. The record is from RefSeq and is a predicted model, not a curated record. Lineage: Eukaryota; Metazoa; Chordata; Lepidosauria; Squamata; Elapidae.
AGACGGCGAGAUGGAGCCGGUGGAAGGAUGCGACUCCCCUUCCUUCUUCUUCUUCUUCUUCCUCCUCUUCCUCGCCCGGAGCGGCGUCUUCUCUCCGGAGCCCGCCGGCCGGGGCGUCCCUUCCCCGACCGCUUCAGGUGCCCGACAGCCUCGGAGAUCCGGUCUCCGGUUUGGACGCCUUCCAAGGACAUGAUGACGACUGUAGAUCUCUCUCGCUCUCUCUUUAUAUAUAUAUAUAAUUAUAUAUAUAUAAUUUCCUAAUUUUUUUUCCCCACGGUUUUGUUUUUGGUUUUUUUUUUGCUUUGCUUUGGGUACCAAAAAGGAUCGGAGCGGCCGUAGCUUCAAGAAUGGAUCAACUCAUUUUUUUUCUCCUUCCAACUCAUGGUGUCAUCCUGAACAAAGCAUUGUCGACUCAUACUGAGGAAAAAGAUUUUGCCCAGGAAAUAGCUACAUUGUGGUUUCUUAGGCAACUACCUACAAAAUCAUUUUCAAAAGACAGAAGGCUGUUAUAGAAGGCAACACAUUGUACAGAAUUACUUCGUUGUUCUUCACAUUUGUUUUGCUUCCAGUCAAAAACAUAUUCAUUUUUGGCACUUAAAACUCCCUUUAAAACUUUGGGAUUGGUUGAUCAUUGGCUGAAAAGUUAACCGGAAUCUCAGUGAAAUCAUCCAAACUGAGUGAUCCUGCAGAAACAAGAAUACCUCCUAAAUCACCUUAAUUCCUCCCCAAACUUCAUUGGUGCGCAAUCCUGAGGCAAAAAUGACCUAUAAUUUAAAACUAUUCCAACUGGGCAUUUCUUUAACCUGGCUUGUUGAUUUUCUCCCAUAACAGUGCCAUCAGUAGGACAUUCAUUCUAGAAUUCUGUCACUUUUGCAAUUCAGAAGACCAUGCUAAAACAUUUGGCUACAACUUGGGUCUACUGUUUCUUUUCUGCAAAUGGUUACAUAUAUUAUUUAUGUACUAAAUCUUUUAAGUCAGCUCAUCAGUUAUUUUUUCUCAAUCUUUUCUAAACUGAAUGGAUGGGUUCUAAGACUUAAAAAGGCAUUGUUGUGGUUCAGAAGUGCAUGUCACUAUGUAAUACAGCUUACCCUGGAGAUGAUAUAUCCAGCUGUGUUGUUACCUUUAUAUAAAACAAGAUAUGGCAGUCCGGUGGAAUAAGUAUCCUGUUUGUAGUUUGAACAAGAGAUGUCACCAUUUGGAGUAUGAAGAAGCAGAGCUUUUAACUUGGAAGAUAGCUGCCAGUUUUGGUCAUCUUGUAAACAAACUCACACUGAUUCAAGAGUCUUCCAGUAGCAGACGAAAGAAAGCUGCAGCGUUCCUGACUGCACAUGGAUUAGAUGCUUGGGAUGAUUUUAGCCACUACCUUGUUGAGGACUAUGUGAGAUUUCGGUAGUUUGGUCCCAGUGGUGUAACUCUUCUCAGGAGGAUGUCUUGAACCAAAAGAUGAUGAAUACAAAGAUGAGGUGGCAAGAGAAGAAAUGAAAAAGAAAACAAUAUUUCAAGAUAAGAGAUGGAGGGAAAGGCAGCAUCUAAAGGAUUUAUCCUCCCCUCCCUCACAUAACAACUAGUGCUGUAGCCUGCACUAUUAUUAGACGGAUGUCACAUUUAGAUCCUUUAAAGCUUAAAGCCUUUUAGCCUUGGUCAAGAAUGAACCUUUUGAUUACAGAAUGCAGAGCAGAAAAUCUUCCGUAUUACUAUUCAGCCACUGAUGACAUCCCCUGACCCUAAAUCUCAGACUUACAUCCUGGAGAGAGUUGGUGCCAGUUCCGUGCUGUUGCAAAGGGAGCCAUGUGGAGAAGUCAUCGGGAGUUGAGCACCACCAAAAAGAGCUUUACCUUUUUUAUACUAGUGGGUCAUGUGGACUUGCCCUUGAGGCUCCUCUCAGCGUAUGCUCUGGUUUCAAAUUGAUCUGUUCAUCAUUCGCUGAGGAAAUACCUUCAUCUUCAACUCUGAACCAGUUGGCCUCUACAACAAGAGCAGGAAACUUGUGUUUACAAGUGGGAAGACGACCUCAUUUGCAUUUUUGGAGGGUCAUCUGGAGGAGAAACUUGAGAGAAAGAAGCAUCAGCAAACUCCAUGGUGCCUCCUGGACUGGGUUGAGCUCCUGUUCUUUGCCUCAACUCCUGCCCACCUAGCAGUUCGAAAGCAUGCAAAUGCGAGUAGAUAAAUAGGUAACCACUUUGGUGGAAGACAACAGCGUUCUGUGCGCCUGUGGCCUAUAGCCCAUGCUUGGCCACAUGACCACUGAAAUUGUCUUCAGACAGUGCUGGCUCAUUGGCCCUUGAAACAGAGGAACAAGCCCAUCACCAAGAGCAAUGACUUAAUAGAAUAACAGAGCUGGGAGGGACCUUGGAGGUCUUCUAGUCCAACCCCCCUGGCCAGGCAGGAGAGCCUAUAUCGUUUCAUGGAUUUCUUGGAUGCUGCUGAGGAGGGAAGAAAAGGACACACUGGAAUAAUAUCUCCAGCUAAAUUCCUCCGCUUUCACACAAGUGUCAUUCAGCAAAACAGGAACCACACACUCUGCAAUGUGUGUGACUGGCCACGGGUACAGCAGGGGCCAAUUUACGUUACUCACUUCACUGAGGUGUCCCUUACCGAAGCCAUGCAGCAGAAAAGGUUCAGCUGCACACUAUUGCACAUUGGUAAGGCUGCUGAGGGUGUUGACGGAAGACGGAGCAAGCAGCGUAUUGCGGAAUGAGGCAACCCAGCCUUUUCUAAUUGGUUGCUUUUCAGAUGGGUAAAUGAAGACUCAAUCAUCCAGGCCCAAAGUAUCUAAAAGGGAGGGAGGGAGAGACAGA